This is a non-coding RNA of Stegodyphus mimosarum, 73 nucleotides long. NCBI's taxonomy places the organism in Eukaryota, Metazoa, Arthropoda, Arachnida, Araneae, Eresidae. The record is from Rfam.
GCUUUCGUGGUGUACUGGUCAGCACGCUCGGCGCGUAUUCGAGAGGUCCAUGGUUCGAGUCCCAGCGAGGGCA